UGGCGACCAUAGCGUUGUGGACCCACCUGAACCCAUGCCGAACUCAGAAGUGAAACGCAAUAGCGCCGAUGGUAGUGUGGGGUUUCCCCAUGUGAGAGUAGGACAUCGCCAGGC
This 114-nucleotide ribosomal RNA is filed under the name Vibrio ulleungensis. Lineage: Bacteria; Pseudomonadati; Pseudomonadota; Gammaproteobacteria; Vibrionales; Vibrionaceae. The record is from RNAcentral.